GAUGAACGCUGGCGGCGUGCCUAAUACAUGCAAGUCGAGCGAACGGACGAGAAGCUUGCUUCUCUGAUGUUAGCGGCGGACGGGUGAGUAACACGUGGAUAACCUACCUAUAAGACUGGGAUAACUUCGGGAAACCGGAGCUAAUACCGGAUAAUAUUUUGAACCGCAUGGUUCAAAAGUGAAAGACGGUCUUGCUGUCACUUAUAGAUGGAUCCGCGCUGCAUUAGCUAGUUGGUAAGGUAACGGCUUACCAAGGCAACGAUGCAUAGCCGACCUGAGAGGGUGAUCGGCCACACUGGAACUGAGACACGGUCCAGACUCCUACGGGAGGCAGCAGUAGGGAAUCUUCCGCAAUGGGCGAAAGCCUGACGGAGCAACGCCGCGUGAGUGAUGAAGGUCUUCGGAUCGUAAAACUCUGUUAUUAGGGAAGAACAUAUGUGUAAGUAACUGUGCACAUCUUGACGGUACCUAAUCAGAAAGCCACGGCUAACUACGUGCCAGCAGCCGCGGUAAUACGUAGGUGGCAAGCGUUAUCCGGAAUUAUUGGGCGUAAAGCGCGCGUAGGCGGUUUUUUAAGUCUGAUGUGAAAGCCCACGGCUCAACCGUGGAGGGUCAUUGGAAACUGGAAAACUUGAGUGCAGAAGAGGAAAGUGGAAUUCCAUGUGUAGCGGUGAAAUGCGCAGAGAUAUGGAGGAACACCAGUGGCGAAGGNNACUUUCUGGUCUGUAACUGACGCUGAUGUGCGAAAGCGUGGGGAUCAAACAGG
RNAcentral lists this ribosomal RNA (766 nucleotides) under Staphylococcus aureus. Its description in RNAcentral is "bacterial SSU rRNA". It matches the Rfam family "Bacterial small subunit ribosomal RNA", at positions 28 to 776 of the family's 1533-position model. Lineage: Bacteria; Bacillati; Bacillota; Bacilli; Caryophanales; Staphylococcaceae. The record is from RNAcentral.